This 72-nucleotide transfer RNA is filed under the name Pseudomonadota bacterium. RNAcentral's name for it is "tRNA-Gly". It matches the Rfam family "tRNA". From Rfam's summary of the family: Transfer RNA (tRNA) molecules are approximately 80 nucleotides in length. Their secondary structure includes four short double-helical elements and three loops (D, anti-codon, and T loops). RNAcentral also lists the same sequence under 1 other name. Lineage: Bacteria; Pseudomonadati; Pseudomonadota. The record is from RNAcentral.
GCGGGUGUCGCCAAGUGGUAAGGCGUCAGCCUUCCAAGCUGAUAUUCGUGGGUUCGAAUCCCAUCACCCGCU